ACUAAUUCGCGGCGUCGAUUAUAAAAAUCGUAGCGAGAAUUUACGCCUCUCGCUGACGCGUUUUCCUCACGACCGCGUCUCUCCGCGAACAGUCGUAACAAAGAGUCUAGAGAUAAAAAAUUUGUCAAGUAAGGAUAUUUCUAUAUGUUUGGCGAUUACGAUGCAUAUCACUACUUUGUUAUUGCAUAUCACUUUUCAAAAACCAAACACGACGCAAUGUUCUAUCACAGAUACCUACAUUUUAGACACAGAUGGUGUAAUUUUUAGUCAAAAUAUUCUUGUAAUUAUUUUAAUGAAGUAACUGUGCCAUAAUGAUAAAAGUAAUGUUUAUCGAUUUUCUGACUUUGUCACUCGGUGACUAAAAGGAAUAUUUCGAUAAGAAAUAAUUGAAAAGUUGAUUGCUAAUACACAUGUUAUUGAAAUUUAAAAUUGUUUCUCUACGUACAAAAGACAUGACGAAUGUGACAUGUUCUCCAACUUUAGCCUUCAUAUUAAAAUAAUUUAUUGUAUAAUAAUAAUGAAAGAAAAAUAAGUAAGAAUAAAAUAUUGAUAAUGAAAGAAAUUAAUAUUAAUAAUUAUAUUAUCACGGAUAGUAGAAGAAAAGAGUUUUUUUAAAACUUCUAUUACUUUGAACCUUAAUAAACUAUUAAAUUCAGAAUUACUAACUAUAUUAUUAUAUUAUUAUUUAUAUAUAUCCCUAGAAUAUAAAGCAAACUCUCGAAACUAACUGAAGAUACAGACUCUGCAACUGAACUAAUUAGCUCGAUAUUUGGUCCCUUUGGGAUAUGAUAACUAACGAUCAAGUAUUGCAAUAAACGCGCUAAUUAACAACCGCCAAUGAUAAAGUAAUAGCAAAUAUAAGUAUACGAAACGCAUUUAAUAACCGAGAAUAUUCGUAAAUAUCUCUGUAAUUUCCCACGCAAUCAAAAACGGAAUUGAGAAACUAAUCGAAAAAAGCUCGUUUGGAACCUUGGGAUCUUGAACUCUGACGUACACAACUCGCGAAUAAUAGCGUUAAUAAUACAUUAACGAUUACAAUGAACGGCCCAUUGACAUAAAUCUUAAUCCUCAAAAAUCAUGGAUUCUUUAACCUAUUUUAAACCAGGUAUUCAAAUUGCUUGUUUAAGUUAAAUUGAACAUUUCCUUGCUCGCGACAGAGUAAAUGUUUUAUUUGAAAAAAACUUUCAAUAAUAAAAAUAAUAAAAUUCAUUCAAUAUCACUCACCCAUCUCAUAUGCCCAUCAUGCUCGAGCAAUUAGAUAUGUAAUUAUUUGCAACAUAUAAAUUAGAACAUAAUAAGA
This 1300-nucleotide unclassified non-coding RNA is filed under the name Bombus terrestris (buff-tailed bumblebee). RNAcentral's name for it is "misc RNA ENSBTSG00005030587.1". Lineage: Eukaryota; Metazoa; Arthropoda; Insecta; Hymenoptera; Apidae. The record is from RNAcentral.